AUGCCAUAUUGGGGAACACACUUCGAAGCAAAGGAAAACUGAAAAAUAUCUGGACCCAAUGGCUGUGAACCAACAUGAAGGUUGUCCAGCUUAUUGCAUCUAUGGUCUCAACUUCAGGAAUUCAUUCUUGAUUUUGUACAGCCAAAAUUGACUAAGCUGUAAUAUGGUUUCUUGCUCCAGUUCCCUGAGGCCAAAAGGUCUUUGUGAUGCGCUCCAAGACUGUUCCAGAAUUUGCCCUCCUUAAAAAGUACUAAAACUGGAAUGAAUAAUGAAUGAUGAAAAUGUUUUCAAAUCGCAUAGACUAGCUGAUGGGAAAGGAACUUGGAAGGCAGCCUUGAAAACUGCAGUUCUCACUAUACACACUUUCACAAAACUCACUGCAUAAAUGUAGCUCUCCGUUUAAAGAGGAUGAGCCACCACUGCUAAAAAUCACGAUGUUACAUUUGCGCAAGAGAACGCGCAGGAUAUUCUCACUGGUGCAGCAUCUCAGGGGAGUUCCACUCAUGAAGUUGCAUUACACAUGGCUAUGAAUGGCUGGGACAGGACAGAGGAAUGCCACCUUUAAGCAUAAUGCAAAUAAUGCAAAAAGUCCUCUUGCUACCCUAUUUUAGUUCUUUAAAGGGAAAACUGGGGAGUGAAAUGGGAGCUACUGUUGUGCCCUUGCUACUGCUGUGCUGUGUAAAGUGAAGAGACCUUUCUAGGUUUUUUUUGAUAGUUGUCCUUAGUUAGCAUUAAUAUCCAGUUCACAUUCCUAGAUUGAGUCACGGUGCCCUACUGCCUGGUCAAGAUGGUAGUAAUAAGGGCUGAAAGAAACGGUUUAAUUCUGGUCAGAGAGGGAGUUCUGGUCAACUGAGUUCUUAUUUAACAGGAAUGCUGCCUGUCCCUAUAUUGGCUUGCUUCUUUCCAAGGCUGCUGUUGUAAAGAAACAGUUAUCACAAAAUCACAGAUGGCGUACU
This is a long non-coding RNA of Podarcis raffonei (Aeolian wall lizard), 956 nucleotides long. RefSeq lists it as uncharacterized. The record is from RefSeq and is a predicted model, not a curated record. The transcript is spliced from 3 exons. NCBI's taxonomy places the organism in Eukaryota, Metazoa, Chordata, Lepidosauria, Squamata, Lacertidae.